AACGAACGCUGGCGGCGGGCCUCAUACAUGCAAGUCGAGCGCGAAAGUCCGCAAGGAUGAGUAAAGCGGCGCACGGGUGAGUAACACGUGGAUAAUCUACCCUUUGGAUUGGAAUAACCUGUCGAAAGACGGGCUAAUGCCGAGUAAGCUUACGAGUUCGUGAAGUUCUUGUAAGGAAAGAUGGCGCAAGCUAUCGCCGAUGGAUGAGUCUGCGUCCCAUUAGUUAGUUGGUGGGGUAAUGGCUUACCAAGACAAUGAUGGGUACCUGGUUUGAGAGAAUGAUCAGGCACACUGGAACUGAAACACGGUCCAGACUCCUACGGGAGGCAGCAGUAGGGAAUAUUGCGCAAUGGACGAAAGUCUGACGCAGCCACGCCGCGUGAGUGAGGAAGGCCUCGG
RNAcentral lists this ribosomal RNA (399 nucleotides) under uncultured bacterium. RNAcentral describes it as "bacterial SSU rRNA". It matches the Rfam family "Bacterial small subunit ribosomal RNA", at positions 29 to 420 of the family's 1533-position model. The record is from RNAcentral.